CGGAGGAAGAUCCGGGGGGUCCUGCUGAUGCCAUAUAAAUAAGCGGAGGAAGAGUGCCCGCAAGAGUCCAACCAAACUCUUGUAUUAAACCAGUCGUCUGAGUAUAAAAUUUUAAUUAAAUUAAAACUUUCAACAACGGAUCUCUUGGUUCUCGCAUCGAUGAAGAACGCAGCGAAAUGCGAUAAGUAAUGUGAAUUGCAGAAUUCAGUGAAUCAUCGAAUCUUUGAACGCACAUUGCGCCCCUUGGUAUUCCGAGGGGCAUGCCUGUUCGAGCGUCAUUACACCACUCAAGCACUGCUUGGUAUUGGGCAUCGUCCGUCGAAAGGCGGGCGUGCCUCGAAGACCUCGGCGGGGUUUCUCCAACUUCGGGCGUAGUAGAGUUAAAUCAAAACGUCUUAUAAGCUUGGUGAGAUCUCAUUGCCGUUAAACCUUUUAUUUUUCAGGUUGACCUCGGAUCAGGUAGGGAUACCCGCUGAACUUAAGCAUAUCAUAGCCGGGAGAAA
Molecule: ribosomal RNA, 503 nt
Filed under: Coniozyma leucospermi
Lineage: Eukaryota; Fungi; Ascomycota; Dothideomycetes; Dothideales; Dothideaceae
Description: eukaryotic LSU rRNA
Rfam family: 5.8S ribosomal RNA (bases 125-278)
Source: RNAcentral